Molecule: ribosomal RNA, 496 nt
Filed under: uncultured bacterium
Lineage: Bacteria
Description: partial 16S ribosomal RNA
Rfam family: Bacterial small subunit ribosomal RNA
Source: RNAcentral
GAUGAACGCUGGCGGCGUGCCUAAUACAUGCAAGUCGAGCGAACGGACGAGAAGCUUGCUUCUCUGAUGUUAGCGGCGGACGGGUGAGUAACACGUGGAUAACCUACCUAUAAGACUGGGAUAACUUCGGGAAACCGGAGCUAAUACCGGAUAAUAUUUUGAACCGCAUGGUUCAAAAGUGAAAGACGGUCUUGCUGUCACUUAUAGAUGGAUCCGCGCUGCAUUAGCUAGUUGGUAAGGUAACGGCUUACCAAGGCAACGAUGCAUAGCCGACCUGAGAGGGUGAUCGGCCACACUGGAACUGAGACACGGUCCAGACUCCUACGGGAGGCAGCAGUAGGGAAUCUUCCGCAAUGGGCGAAAGCCUGACGGAGCAACGCCGCGUGAGUGAUGAAGGUCUUCGGAUCGCAAAACUCUGUUAUUAGGGAAGAACAUAUGUGUAAGUAACUGUGCACAUCUUGACGGUACCUAAUCAGAAAACCACGGCUAACUACGU